RNAcentral lists this long non-coding RNA (769 nucleotides) under Mus pahari (shrew mouse). Its description in RNAcentral is "lncRNA (MGP_PahariEiJ_G0002203.1)". Lineage: Eukaryota; Metazoa; Chordata; Mammalia; Rodentia; Muridae. The record is from RNAcentral.
CUCAGUGGACAGUGAGGAGCGCUUGGCUUGAUUUGAGAGGCUUCUUGGUUGUGUGUCUUCCCUGAUCUUUGCUUUAUUGAAAGAGGCAUGACAGAGAACUUCUCCUGGCAUCCCUGUUGGUCCUGAUUCCUCCCACUGACUCCUGCCAAUUCAGCUGAGGCCUGGCUGCCUCUGCUAGGUCAUGCCACCGCUGCUGAUCUGUGUUUGCUAACACACACACACACAUAAGGUCUGACAGCAGGAGUGGGGACUCAGCUGUCCUCAUUCAGCUUUCCAUCUCCAGGGCCAGGCUAAUGGAGACACUCUGUGAAUGAAGGUGAAUGGACUUCUUUACUGAACAAGGAGCAUUGAUGCCUCCUGGAAUAAAGUUCCAUGCCCUGAGCAGCCUUCCUCAGCCACUCCCCUUCCUGCCUCUGUGCAUGAUGGAGGGUGGAUCUGCCCACUCUCUGAUGCUUCAUUGGCUAUAGGAACUAUUGUAAUCUAUGCUGAAAGACUCUAGUCCGUGUAACAGUUGAGACUAUGGACAGGGGAGCCAGCCAGAAACAUUUCUUAAAUCUCUGCCUUUGCCUCUUUCAAACUGUAUGCCCUAGGUGGUAUGGCAGAGUUCCAGGCCUAGCGGCUGCUCCCUGCACCUGCCCCCUCCACAUCCAAUUUCUUUGCAAUGGCCUAAAAAGCUAACCAAGCUGAAAUAGCUCAUUCCAAGGCUCUCAAACUCUGGCACCGUCAUUCAGUGUUUGCAGAGACCUAGUCUCAUCCUGGCCACUCACCA